This 304-nucleotide ribosomal RNA is filed under the name uncultured bacterium. Its description in RNAcentral is "partial 16S ribosomal RNA". It matches the Rfam family "Bacterial small subunit ribosomal RNA", at positions 509 to 807 of the family's 1533-position model. The record is from RNAcentral.
CAGCAGUCGCCGCGGUAAUACGUAGGGUGCGAGCGUUAAUCGGAAUUACUGGGCGUAAAGCGUGCGCAGGCGGUUAUAUAAGCCAGAUGUGAAAUCCCCGGGCUCAACCUGGGAACUGCAUUUGAGACUGUAUGGCUAGAGUGUGUCAGAGGGGGGUAGAAUUCCACGUGUAGCAGUGAAAUGCGUAGAUAUGUGGAGGAAUACCGAUGGCGAAGGCAGCCCCCUGGGAUAACACUGACGCUCAUGCACGAAAGCGUGGGGAGCAAACAGGAUUAGAUACCCGCGUAGUCCCUGUCUCUUAUAC